CGUCUGAUAGCCGCCGUGUAGUAACGUAUCGCUUGUGAGUGCCGUGGAUGGAUUGUGGAUAGUGCCGGAAGUGGUAGGCUGAGG
Molecule: small nucleolar RNA, 84 nt
Filed under: Leishmania donovani
Lineage: Eukaryota; Euglenozoa; Kinetoplastea; Trypanosomatida; Trypanosomatidae
Also listed under: 1 other name
Source: RNAcentral